RNAcentral lists this ribosomal RNA (497 nucleotides) under uncultured bacterium. RNAcentral's name for it is "partial 16S ribosomal RNA". It matches the Rfam family "Bacterial small subunit ribosomal RNA", at positions 28 to 507 of the family's 1533-position model. The record is from RNAcentral.
GAUGAACGCUGGCGGCGUGCCUAAUACAUGCAAGUCGAGCGAACAGACGAGGAGCUUGCUCCUCUGACGUUAGCGGCGGACGGGUGAGUAACACGUGGAUAACCUACCUAUAAGACUGGGAUAACUUCGGGAAACCGGAGCUAAUACCGGAUAAUAUAUUGAACCGCAUUGUUCAAUAGUGAAAGACGGUUUUGCUGUCACUUAUAGAUGGAUCCGCGCCGCAUUAGCUAGUUGGUAAGGUAACGGCUUACCAAGGCAACGAUGCGUAGCCGACCUGAGAGGGUGAUCGGCGACACUGGAACUGAGACACGGUCCAGACUACUACGGGAGGCAGCAGUAGGGAAUCUUACGCAAUGGGCGAAAGCUUGACGGAGCAACGCCGAGUGAGUGAUGAAGGUCUUCGGAUCGUAAAACUCUGUUAUUAGGGAAGAACAAAUGUGUAAGUAACUAUGCACGUCUUGACGGUACCUAAUCAGAAAGCAACGGCUAACUACGUG